This 26-nucleotide small RNA is filed under the name Arabidopsis thaliana (thale cress). RNAcentral describes it as "ATSL224260". The record is from RNAcentral. Lineage: Eukaryota; Viridiplantae; Streptophyta; Magnoliopsida; Brassicales; Brassicaceae.
UCAAUGCAACGAGGAUACAGUAGAAU